Juglans microcarpa x Juglans regia is the source of this 475-nucleotide long non-coding RNA. RefSeq lists it as uncharacterized. The transcript is spliced from 3 exons. The record is from RefSeq and is a predicted model, not a curated record. Lineage: Eukaryota; Viridiplantae; Streptophyta; Magnoliopsida; Fagales; Juglandaceae.
AUCUACCACCGUUGCAGGCAUAAUAAAGGCUAACUCUACCCGGCUAAAAACUUCGACCCACAAGACUCUAGUAGUCUCGCAAUGUAGCAAAAGGUGUUCCACUGUCUCGCCAGAUCUCUUGCACAUGCAACACCAGUCUAGUAUAACUAAUUGGCGCUUUCUCAGAUUGUCGGUAGCCAGAAUCUUCCCCAAUGCUGCUGUCCAAGUAAAGAAGAUCACUUUCGGAGGUGCCUUAUUUCUCCAAAUUCUCCUCCACGGGAACGGGGUGGUGGCGGUUUGGGAAAGAGACUUAUAAAAGGAUCGAACUGAGAAAAUGUCCUUACCCGUGGGAGUCCACCACAGCUUAUCAACUUGCUGACUAUUUGGCUUCACAUAAUAAAGAAAGCUGAAAAAAGCCUCAAAGAUGUCCACUUCCCAGUCUUGCGCCGCUCUACUAAAUGUGACGUUCCACUGCACUUGAUCAUAAGGAUGGUAG